Long non-coding RNA from Mya arenaria, 246 nucleotides. RefSeq lists it as uncharacterized. The transcript has 3 exons. NCBI's taxonomy places the organism in Eukaryota, Metazoa, Mollusca, Bivalvia, Myida, Myidae. The record is from RefSeq and is a predicted model, not a curated record.
UUGAAAAACAAUCUAAAGAUGAAACUGAGGCAGUUGAGCAGAAUAAGCAGCACUUAGUCAAAAACAGAGCAAACGCAGAUAUCCCAGGUAAUGAAAACAGACCACGCCUUUAUCUGAAUCUCCAUCCAGGAGCGACAGAUUACAUCAAUGCUGUUUACAUACAUAGCUUUAGAACCAAGAAACGUUACCUGGAAGCACAGACUCCACUUCCAGAGACAGUUAUAGACUUUUUGACUCUUAUUGUCC